ACAAAUGGCAUGGCAACAUGGAAUUCCACUAAGUUCCCAAGCUCUACAAGAACAAGUUUCUAAAUUCAAAUCAACAACAUAUUUGUCACCACCUUCUGUAAUCUCAUAUCCUUCAUUUCCAUUCCAUAUCAAAUGGCAAUACCUACUAGCAGAUGUAUUCUCAUGUAACUUACGCAUAAUCCUUGGACCGUAAUUUCUAGUCCACCUAGCACAUCCAUCCCUCUGAGUAUGCAUUCUAUUCAUAACCAUGAUUCUAA
Molecule: long non-coding RNA, 257 nt
Filed under: Eucalyptus grandis
Lineage: Eukaryota; Viridiplantae; Streptophyta; Magnoliopsida; Myrtales; Myrtaceae
Description: long non-coding RNA (EGRA_LNC002319)
Source: RNAcentral